Molecule: ribosomal RNA, 253 nt
Filed under: uncultured bacterium
Lineage: Bacteria
Description: partial 16S ribosomal RNA
Rfam family: Bacterial small subunit ribosomal RNA
Source: RNAcentral
UACAGAGGUCUCAACCGUUGUUCGGAUUCAUUGGGCGUAAAGGGUGCGUAGGCGGUCGGGUAAGUCGGAUGUGAAAUCCCAGGGCUCAACCCUGGAACUGCAUUCGAUACUGCCUGGCUAGGGUACUGGAGAGGAGACUGGAAUUUACGGUGUAGCAGUGAAAUGCGUAGAUAUCGUAAGGAAGACCAGUGGCGGAGGCGAGUCUCUGGACAGUUACCGACGCUGAGGCACGAAGGUCAGGGGAGCAAACGGG